AUGUCUUUGUAUCCGUUGCUUAAUGGUACGAUUGAUAAAGGUCACUGGGCUGCACUUAUGCAAGGGGGCAAGAACUUAGACGUUUUGGUCACUCGCACCCCGAAGACUAACUGGAUGAUACACCCUUCAUGGGUUGAUAGGUUAAGUUGGGCUGGACUUCUACCCUUGGCACGGCUGGUUGAGGGUAUGUUGGAAGAGUGGGUUGACCAUCCGAACUUGGAUGAGGCAGGUGAACCAAUGCAGUUGAAAAAGAGGCAAGUGAAACGAUUCUCUUACGACAGGUCACUCCUUACUUGCUUAGUAGAUAGAUGGAGACCAGAGACACACACCUUUCACUUUCCUUGGGGAGAGAUGGCGCCUACUUUACAGGAUGUCUCCUACUUGUUGGGAUUACCUUUGGCCGGUGAUGCCAUAGGUCCUUUAGAGGCAGAACCUGGCUGGCUUGCAAAUAUGCAGGCCCGUUUUCUAGCUGCGGUGCCAACUGCUACGGGCUUAAACGAUGAUCCUCACGGGCCACGUUUUAGGUGGUUGAGCCAGUUUCAGAUUGUCUCAUUAGGAUACCCCGCAGUAGAUUUGUCAGACGCACAGAUUGAUCGAUCCCUAUAG
Molecule: ribosomal RNA, 606 nt
Filed under: Triticum aestivum (bread wheat)
Lineage: Eukaryota; Viridiplantae; Streptophyta; Magnoliopsida; Poales; Poaceae
Description: partial small subunit ribosomal RNA
Source: RNAcentral